CCUACGGGUGGCAGCAGUGGGGAAUAUUGCACAAUGGGGGAAACCCUGAUGCAGCGACGCCGCGUGAGUGAAGAAGUACUUCUUUACGUAAAGCUCUAUCAGCAGGGAAGAAAAUGACGGUACCUGAGUAACAAGCCCCGGCUAAUUACGUGCCAGCAGCCGCGGUAAUACGUAGGGGGCAAGCGUUAUCCGGAUUUACUGGGGUAAAGGGAGCGUAGACGGGGCGCCAAGUCUGGAGUGAAAUGCCGCAGCUUAACUGCGGAACUGCUUUGGAAACUGGCGAACUAGAGUGCGGGAGGGGUAAGCGGAAUUCCUAGUGUAGCGGUGAAAUGCGUAGAUAUUAGGAGGAACACCAGUGGCGAAGGCGGAUGACUGGACGGCAACUGACGGUGAGGCGCGAAAGCGUGGGGAGCAAACAGGAUUAGAUACCCUUGUAGUC
RNAcentral lists this ribosomal RNA (439 nucleotides) under uncultured bacterium. RNAcentral describes it as "partial 16S ribosomal RNA". It matches the Rfam family "Bacterial small subunit ribosomal RNA", at positions 338 to 795 of the family's 1533-position model. The record is from RNAcentral.